This 934-nucleotide long non-coding RNA is filed under the name Marmota monax (woodchuck). The record is from RNAcentral. Lineage: Eukaryota; Metazoa; Chordata; Mammalia; Rodentia; Sciuridae.
UUACAGAUGUUCCACAUCCGAGACUACAAAACGGAAUAGGUUACGGGAAGUAGAAUUAGACCAAAGACAGAAGAAAUGGCAACUAUCUCCAAAGUUGUGGGGAGAAAGUCCUGGGGACAGUCCAAGGACACCACUGUGGGAAGUUAUGGGGAGGAGGCAAGUCUCACCUGAUUCAGGAAGAACAUUCCAACCUUAACAGAGAUGUCCACCCAGGAGGGAUCUUCCUCUUCAAAACAGUUCAACCUUCACCAGAAGCUGGAUCUCAUCAUUUCAUACACUUAAAAAGCCCUUCAGUUAUCAGAAGAGCUGAACCUCCUAGACUCACCACCUCUCCAACCCAGACCUCUUGGUUCUAAGGACCAGCACUCUCUGCACCCACUUUGGUUCAUUUGGGUUUAUUUUUAUUAGGACAAUCGCCCAUAGUCCUUAGGCCAACGUGUAACUCCACAAAAAGUAACCCUUGAUUUAGUGAAACACUGAUUCCCCAGAUGCAACUACCAGCUGCGUCUCUGUGGCCCUCUUGGAGCUCAGUGGUUGGCCAGUGAGUGACUGCCCUCUUGUGGAAAUGAAGAAUACAGCUGCUUAGAAAAGUACUUGGAUCGUUUUUUUCUGUUGGCCCUCCACUUCUGGUCUUACCUCCCCCUACAAGCAUAACAUUUUGGUGUGGGCCACAAAGUUCUUGACCUCAGCCCCAGGCAUCAUUUUGUCUCCCAAGAUCCUCAUCCUCAGCCACAAUACAAAGCCUGGGUUUCUAGACAGUGGUGGGACUUUGUAGACUCUACUUCUGUGAACAGUGACCUUUAGAAGUCAAUGCAGUGCUAAGGAAAGGGUGCUGGACCAGGUAUAAAUUCAUGUUUGAUCAUUCUGUGUGAUCUACUCAUAAAAAGAAAAAAAAAAUCUGUUGAUAAGGGGCUACAAGGCCAUGACCACUUGA